RNAcentral lists this ribosomal RNA (392 nucleotides) under uncultured bacterium. RNAcentral describes it as "bacterial SSU rRNA". It matches the Rfam family "Bacterial small subunit ribosomal RNA", at positions 28 to 404 of the family's 1533-position model. The record is from RNAcentral.
GACGAACGCUGGCGGCGUGCCUAAUACAUGCAAGUCGAGCGGAGUGAAUAGAAGUGCUUGCACUUCUAUUCACUCAGCGGCGGACGGGUGAGUAACACGUAGGUAACCUGCCUGUAAGACCGGGAUAACUACCGGAAACGGUAGCUAAUACCGGAUAAUUUGCUUCCUCACCUGAGGUGACACUGAAAGGCGGAGCAAUCUGUCACUUAUAGAUGGGCCUGCGGCGCAUUAGCUAGUUGGUGAGGUAACGGCUCACCAAGGCGACGAUGCGUACCCGACCUGAGAGGGUGAACGGCCACACUGGGACUGAGACACGGCCCACACUCCUACGGGAGGCAGCAGUAGGGAAUCUUCCGCAAUGGACGAAAGUCUGACGGAGCAACGCCGCGUGA